UGUAUAUUGCCAUGCUAGCUUGUGCUCGCCCCUUCAAUGUUCUACAUUCGCCUAGUUACAUCAAAGGUCAACCGUGUCAUACCUCCUCUAGCUCUAGCUGCUGUGGAACUAUACGCGUCGACUCCGUUUACGUCUGUGUACUUUCCGUAUCACUCGUUCCGCAUUCUUCGUAGCGUUCCGCACGUUCCGCAUUUUAGCAUAGAUUGUAUUACUAAGUAACAGGGAUUGGAAACUGAUGACGUCACACGGACAGACUCUGUAAUGGUGGAAAAGCAAUGGAAAGACUACACAAGCUCUUCUCCUAGUCUCCAACUGUAUUAAUUUGAAUUUUAUUUACUAUCGAUGAUGAACAGAUAGGUCUUGAGAGUUCAUGACUGUUCUUUGUGACGGUUAAGCAUAGUUUUGUUGACAGAAUCUUCGCCGCCUCUCGCGGCCCAUGUUAUCAUUGAAAUUGCCUUUGUGAUGGCACAAAUUAACGAAUACAGCUAUUAUUUUUCCAAAGUGCCGUCUAUGGCUUAUAUAAUAGGCUAAAGGCAUGUGAAAAACCCUGAUCUUUGUUACAGUUUUUGUCCUUUAUCCUAAUUUUACUUACUUUUUGUGAUAUAGGUUGAACAGAUACGCCUCUAAAAACAGACAUUUUGGGAUCUUAUGAUCUGUAUGAAGCACUAGUGAUAAUAAAAGUGUUUUAGUGGCAUGUAGCUUUACUUGAUGCAUGUUUUUUAUAUUGACACUCUCUCAGUUUUAGUUACCCUUAGCAAGUUAUAGGUUGAAUAGAUUUCACACCUAUUACGCAUGGUAAAAAAGCAUGCUUUUUCUCAUUUUUCUUCAAAAUAAAGUGCUGUAUUACAGUUUUAACAGUUUCUGAUAAGUAAUCAAACCUUCAGCAACAAUAUAAGCUAUAUAACUGCCCUGGAUCUGGCUUCAAGCUACACUUAAUCUAGCAGUCCUCUCAGUCAUAUUGCUCUAGUCUCAACGAGCCGGGGAAGGGGCAGAGUCUUACAAGGUUCGUCCGCACCUGCUUUCAUUAAUUUGAAUGAGAUCACGUGAUCUGUUUCCUAUCCCUGUUACUUAGUAAUACAAUCUAUGGCUAUAGCGAGCUAGCUAGACUAUCUAUGGGUGGGGUUAGUAUGCACGUACAUGUGUACAUGUUCAUGUAAUAUACAAGCUAAAGCUAUAUGAUACAUGUAGGUACACAUGUACAUGUACAUGUAGUUGUUACUUACAACAUUUGUGUAUACUUAAGCCAUGUUUGUCUAUCUGACACUGUGCUUUUGAUAUUUUAGCUGAACAAGUGAAUUGUACACAGUCAGUGUACAUGUAUAUACAUGUACAUGUGUUACGCAAACAGUGACAGUGUGUUUUCAAUAUGCAUGGUAAUGACAUUAAGUUUGUUUAAACUAUUAUACGUGUGCAUAUACAGCUACAUGUAAAUAAUGUAACGUACUGUACAUGUACAUGUACUUGACCCAAUGUCUAUUGUAGCAGAUUAAAAGCAUGACAUGUUUCUCAAUUCCACUAGUUUUCCUUACCACCAGCACAUGGUAUGAUUCACUUUGUUAGGUAACAAUAUCAGUCCAUCUGCCAGAACCUCUUGCCAAAUACUAGAAACUAUGGAAGUGCCAAUGUAGUCACUACGCUGUAUUAGUAAUUUAGUAGUGUAAACUGUGAACCAAUUACUACUUAAUGUACGAACAUGUACAUGUACAUGUACAUGUAUAUUUUUCUUGUAGCGGGAGCAGUGAUGAAGAGUCUGAUGAGGGUUCCAGCAGUCGGAUCAAGGAAAUUCAAAAACGAAAAACUCGCGAGUUUUUUGAAGCCGAAUUUAGAAAAAGAAGGAGAGAGACGACCAGUCCUGAAGUAGAAGAACUACCUAGUCCUGAUAGUAAUAUUAGAGAUCCUAGUCUAACCAAGAGAGUGUCUAAAUUGACGAUUAAAUGUGUUGCUAUAGCUCUUCUUCAGAAAGCAAGCCUUGAUUGCAUAGUUGAGACAUGAUGCUUUUGCUGUUAUUUAUAAUGUGGCUUAGAGAAGCGAGAGCUAACUUGAUAGCGCGGGCAGCUCUUCCUCGUAGACCAUUGCAAGAGACAACCAGAGGAGCACGUCGAGCUGCAGCCAUCAUCGCUGGAGAUAUAGUCUGGUAUAAGAAUGAUGAAGACGAUCAUUGCAAGCUUUUGGUGGAGCCUGACCAAGAAGUGGGAACAAGUUACUUUUACAAAAAAGGAGAAAUGGUUGUGGCGAUUCAUUGCAAAGUACCCAAAAACUGUGUUGUGUGACUCAGUGCCAUUUAUACCAUGUACUUACACUUAUUUGUAUGAAUACCAUAUUGUAUAAGUUUUUUCUCUGCAUCAGUGUAUUGUUGAUUUUGUUCGUCAUUUGUUGUCUGGUCAAUAAUGUA
Molecule: long non-coding RNA, 2392 nt
Filed under: Amphimedon queenslandica
Lineage: Eukaryota; Metazoa; Porifera; Demospongiae; Haplosclerida; Niphatidae
Description: uncharacterized LOC109587354, transcript variant X4
Source: RNAcentral